Molecule: unclassified non-coding RNA, 224 nt
Filed under: Hevea brasiliensis (rubber tree)
Lineage: Eukaryota; Viridiplantae; Streptophyta; Magnoliopsida; Malpighiales; Euphorbiaceae
Source: RNAcentral
CUCACAGUUUCUUCGCUGGUAAGAACGGAAGAACGAGUCACACCCACCGCCCUCGACCCGAAUCCGCCGCAGGACCCGACUCGCAGCCGUAUUAAUAUUUUUCGCUCCCAUUUUUUUUUUCCGAUAUUACAAUAAACACCAAUCACCAUGGAAUCGCAAUCUGUAAGUCUUCAAAUCUCCCUCUCAUUUGUGCCAGCUCCGUACGGCACCGUAUUCUAGAAACC